CCUAGUGCCAGAAAAGAGAGAUUUUAACUCCCACCCCUAACUCCCAAAGCUAGGAUUCUAAACUAAACUAUUUUCUG
RNAcentral lists this transfer RNA (77 nucleotides) under Pterygoplichthys zuliaensis. RNAcentral's name for it is "partial transfer RNA-Pro". Lineage: Eukaryota; Metazoa; Chordata; Actinopteri; Siluriformes; Loricariidae. The record is from RNAcentral.